GAUAAACGCUGGCGGCGUGCAUGAGACAUGCAAGUCGAACGAAGGAUCGGGCUUGCUCGAUCCUUAGUGGCGGACGGCUGAGUAACGCGUAGGUGACCUACCCCGAAGUGGGGAAUAACUGCCCGAAAGGGUGGCUAAUACCGCAUGUGGUCGCACGUUCAUUCGUGCGAGUAAAGCCGCAAGGCGCUUCGGGAGGGGCCUGCGUCCGAUUAGCUCGUUGGUGGGGUAAUGGCUUACCAAGGCGACGAUCGGUAGGUGGUCUGAGAGGACGAUCACCCAGACUGGGACUGAGACACGGCCCAGACUCCUACGGGAGGCAGCAGUCGGGAAUUUUGCUCAAUGGGGGAAACCCUGAAGCAGCAACGCCGCGUGAGGGAUGAAGGCCUUCGGGUUGUAAACCUCUUUUGUCAGGGACGAUGAUGACGGUACCUGGCGAAUAAGCCACGGCUAACUACGUGCCAGCCGCCGCCGUAA
This 474-nucleotide ribosomal RNA is filed under the name uncultured bacterium. RNAcentral's name for it is "partial 16S ribosomal RNA". It matches the Rfam family "Bacterial small subunit ribosomal RNA", at positions 28 to 523 of the family's 1533-position model. The record is from RNAcentral.